UCUUCGUAUCUCCCUCCUCUCUAACUUCGCAUCCCCAGAACUCUCUCUCUCUCUCACUCGCUCUCAUUUUUUUCAUUCUCUCCUUUUCUAUUUCUUUUUAUUCUAAACCUGAAGCAUGCGAGAGAUUGGAUGUGUGCCUCCAGCCAUUAACUCUCCAUUCGAUCUAACUACUUACAAUCCCUAACCUCAUAAUCUCUCACUCUCCAGAGCCAAAUCCCCUAUCAAAUCCAUUCAUCCAUCGCACUGCAUUUUUUGGAUCGAUGAUUCCUCAGAUAAAAGAACCAUAUAAAAGGGACAAUACUGCUGAAGUUUCUUCUAGGUUUCCAAAUGAAAAGGGAACCAUGAGGCAGAAUGUGGUAAGUUUGAGGAAACAGUACCAGAAAAGAGCCAAAGCAAUAUAGUGAGUAGCCUAGCUGAGAAAGCCAUGUCAGUUGCUGCUCCUGUGGUACCUACCAAAAGUGAUGGUGAAGUGGAUCAAGAAAGGCUGGUAGCAAUGCUGGCAGACUUGGGACAGAAGGGUGGAAUCUUGAAGCUGCUUGGUAAAAUUGCUUUGCUUUUAGUUUGAUGAGAGAAGCAUUACUAUUCCAAUGAAAACACAAGAAUACAACCAUACAACCACCAAAUGUACUGAAGAUGGAACCUCUCAUAAUAAGAAACAGGUGCAAGGAUUUGUGCAGAAUAACAGAACUAGAAACAAGGUUGGGAGAUCCUACUAUAAAGCCAAAGAGGUAUGAUCCCGUGUCAGAAGCUAUGUUGUUAUAGAAAUGAGACAAAUCGGUCACUCAAACAUGAUACAAUUUGACACUUGACCUACUGGAGAAGUUGCCUCCAACUAAUUCAAGACCCAGGCUAGAUCAGAGGCUUUUGGAAAAUGGGGAAUAUGAACUACCAAAUGUAGAGAAACUUAGACUUGAACAGCUACAGAGACAGGUAGACUUCAAUGGAUGCUUUUGUUCCCUAACAUUAUUCUCUUAGUUUGCAUCAUUUGUGGAGGCUUUUCUUUCUUUCUUUCUUUCUUCUUUUAUCAGCAAUAAAGAAAAGAUAAUUUUAUUAAUAUAAGCAGAACUUGUACAUCUUCUUUAGACAAUUGAGAGCACGACAUUGGUGGUGGAAAAUCAUGAUACUCUCUUUUGGCAUGAGUGACCUUGAGAAUAAUUUAAUGGUAAAAAGAAUA
Long non-coding RNA from Nelumbo nucifera (sacred lotus), 1174 nucleotides. RefSeq lists it as uncharacterized. The record is from RefSeq and is a predicted model, not a curated record. NCBI's taxonomy places the organism in Eukaryota, Viridiplantae, Streptophyta, Magnoliopsida, Proteales, Nelumbonaceae.